GGCUGCUAGACUGCAAGUCGCACGGUGUAGCAAUACACAGUGGCGAACGGGUGAGUAAUGAAUCGCUAAUGUACCCCGGACUCUGGGAUAGCUGCCCGAAAGGGCAGGUAAUACCAGAUGAGACCACGAUCAGGCAUCUGAUUGUGCUCAGAGGUCCGCCGGUCUGGGAGCAGGCGAUUUCGUAUCAGCUUGUUGGUGAGGUAACGGCUCACCAAGGCGACGACGCGUAGCCGGACUGAGAGGUUGGCCGGCCACAUUGGGACUGAGACACUGCCCAGACUCCUACGGGGGGCUGCAGUAACGAAUCUUCCGCAAUGCACGAAAGUGUGACGGAGCGACGCCGCGUGUAGGACGAAGCCCUUCGGGGUGUAAACUACUGUCAGGGGUUAGAAAGUUCUGAUCAACCCCAGAGGAAGGCACGGCUAACUCUGUGCCAGCAGCCGCGGUAAGACAGAGGUGCCAAGCGUUAGGCGGAAUCACUGGGCUUAAAGCGUGUGUAGGCGGACUUGUAAGUACCUUGUGAAAUCCCACGGCUUAACCGUGGAACUGCUUGGUAUACUGCUUGUCUUGAGCCACUUAGGGGCUACCGGAACAAAUGGUGGAGCGGUGAAAUGCGUAGAUAUCAUUUGGAACGCCAACGGUGAAAACAGGUAGCUGGGAGUGUGCUGACGCUGAGACACGAAAGCCAGGGGAGCGAACGGGAUUAGAUACCCCGGUAGUCCUGGCCGUAAACGAUGUCGACUAGAUCGUGGCAGCUCUGACGCUGUCAUGGUCGAAGCAAAAGUGCUAAGUCGACCGCCUGGGAAGUACGGUCGCAAGGCUAAAACUCAAAGGAAUUGACGGAGGCUCACACAAGCGGUGGAGCAUGUGGUUCAAUUCGAAGCAACGCGCAGAACCUUACCUGGGCUUGAC
Molecule: ribosomal RNA, 912 nt
Filed under: uncultured bacterium
Lineage: Bacteria
Description: bacterial SSU rRNA
Rfam family: Bacterial small subunit ribosomal RNA
Source: RNAcentral